RNAcentral lists this transfer RNA (88 nucleotides) under Pseudomonadota bacterium. RNAcentral's name for it is "tRNA-Ser". It matches the Rfam family "tRNA". Rfam says of the family: Transfer RNA (tRNA) molecules are approximately 80 nucleotides in length. Their secondary structure includes four short double-helical elements and three loops (D, anti-codon, and T loops). The record is from RNAcentral. RNAcentral also lists the same sequence under 1 other name. Lineage: Bacteria; Pseudomonadati; Pseudomonadota.
GGAGGAGUGCCGGAGAGGCCGAACGGGGCGGAUUCGAAAUCCGUUGGGGGCUGAAACCCCCUCGUGGGUUCAAAUCCCACCUCCUCCG